Molecule: long non-coding RNA, 2169 nt
Filed under: Triticum aestivum (bread wheat)
Lineage: Eukaryota; Viridiplantae; Streptophyta; Magnoliopsida; Poales; Poaceae
Description: long non-coding RNA (TAES_LNC014782)
Source: RNAcentral
UAGCCGUUUGUAUUUCUACAGUCAUGCUUCUAAAGAUUGUAUGGUUUUAUUUUCACUAUAGAUUUGCUUGAGUAGUUCUGUAACUUCUAGAAUAGAUCAGUUAAGAGGUUUUACUCUUAGGCUUGUAUAAACUUACAACAUCUUUUAUUUGUAUUUUUGGAACAUUAGUUUUGUAUAGCUUUACUUUAGUUUCUGGAAACAAGAUUAAAUACGUAUGUUUGCAGUUUGUAAUUUACAGUAGUAUUUUUUGUGAAUUUGCUUCACUAGUUCUGUAAAAUGUCUAGAAUAGUUCACUUCUGGAAUGAAGAGUUAAUAUGUAUUAAUCAAUCUUCUAAUUUUACCUUUUCGCUUGUAUAGAUUUCCAGCUGUAGUAUUUUUGUUAUUUUUCUUCAGUAGUUUUGGAAAAUGGACUAAAUAUGAAAAGUUGGUUCUAAUUUAUUGUCAGUCUUUUUCUAUAGAUGUUACAGUUGCAUUUUUCUUAUUAGUUUUUGGCAAUUUUGCAAUGAGAAAGGUUUAACAACUGUAGUCUGUUCUGGUUUAUAAGGGCAUUGUAUCCAUGAGGAAAUUUGUUACUUAUUUCUAAAUACAUCUCUUACUGUUUAUCUGUAUGUUGCAGAGCAACUCACAUUGGUGUAGCUUAGAUGCAUUUUAAGAUAUGGCAUGAAGCUAGCUAAGGUCUUCUAUUAUUUCUAGCAGCAUGUGAUUGACUGAACAAGAGAAGGACUCCACUCACAUAUGAAGUGCUUGCAAGUUCUUUUUAAAAAAGCAAAGGACCAGCGGUGUAGCUAAGGGCUUUAAUUUAUUAGUACUCCAUUUGUUGCUUCUAAAACACUUGUAUGCACAGAUACUAGUUUCUCUUGGUUAUCAUAAGUGAACAUUCUUUAGAUAAAUUUCGCCUAGUUUUUUUAGUGGGGAAGGAAAGCUUCAUGAUAUUCCAUUUAAAACGCUGAUAUCUAUUUGAGAAUUAAUUUAUGUGCAUACCUCCUCGACCUAACAGUAUUUUUCUACUGUAUAGGAGAAAUCUUCUCAGUUUCUGAAUCCUGAGCAGUAGCAAGUCAGGUGCUUAAUGGUGAUCCUACCAUGCAUAUGGCAUAAGCAAGUUAGUUCUAAAAAGGUCAUUGUUAAUUUGCCCACAUCUAUCCUGCAAUUGCGACAACUUAGUGCGGUGAGAUUAGAGGACGGUCAUCAAUUUAAUCUACUUUGUGGCACUAAAGUAUAGAUGCUUUUCUCCGAUGCUUUUAUGAAUAUAAUAGUCAGAUGUAGUUUAAGUUCAGAUACUUUUUGACUUUUUGUUUGGUAUUUUGCAUGUCCUCAUGUGCUUAGUACUGCAUUUAGAAAUGAUUUCAGAUAGAUUCUUCUCAUUGAAAUUCAUUUCUAACGCAGGGAAAGUAUGUAUAACCUCCUGAUGUACGUGGGUUUUGAGAAUGCUUUUCCCAGGCCAUGCUGCACUCAUCAUUGAAACUUCUAGUUGUGUAUUAGAUAGUAAUCAUUUUUGCCUAAUGUAUUGCUGUCUAGUGCAGCAAAGUGCGGUCUUUCCACCCCAGAGAAGAAAAAGAAAGAGAACUAGUGCAGUCUUUUCUUCAAAAAUGACUUUCAUGUGUCCCUUGGUGGAUGUGUUGCUCCCAAUAAUUGGGUGUCUGGACAUGCUAAAUUGUUGCCUUGUGGCCAGAUGAUGCAUAUGCUCCUUUUCCAUUUAAUAUACUUCCUGGUCUGCGGAUUGAGGAGAUUCAUACAAGCUAUAUGGUGGGUCGGUGUGGCAUUCAUGCUUUAUUAUGUCUAACCCAUCACAGAUUCUAAUUAGAACAUGCCCUAUAUUUAUAAUACUAAAAUCCCAGUUUGUUUUUGCCAUUGGCGCUUUAUACAAUUAUCAUUUUUCCAUUAUCUCCAUGAAUGCGUGAAUUCACCGGUCACCCUUUUAUCCUUUGUAGGAAUGAAAUACAAGAGGACCAGGAAGUAAGCAUGAAGAUGGCAGUUUGUGUCAGGUAGGCAUUUUGUGUAAUGGGGCAAAAACAUUGUGUAUUUUAUCAUUUUGUAAACCUAUAUAGUGUCUUGUCAAUUGGGUAUUUUGUGUAAUGGAGCAAACAAUGAAACAUUGGACAUGCAUCUAUCAUUUUGUAACCAAUCAGUUGUCUUGGUGAUUGAAACAUAAAUGCUUCUUCCUUUCAGUUA